GAUGAAGAACGCAGUGAAAUGCGAUAAGUAAUGUGAAUUGCAGAAUUCAGUGAAUCAUCGAAUCUUUGAACGCACAUUGCGCCCCUUGGUAUUCCGAGGGGCAUGCCUGUUCGAGCGUCAUUAUAACCCCUCAAGCUCAGCUUGGUGUUGGGGCCUGCUGCACUGGCAGCCCUUAAAAUCAGUGGCGGUGCCAUCUGGCUCUAAGCGUAGUAAUUCUUCUCGCUAUGGAGUCCUGGUGGAUGCUUGCCAUCAACCCCCAAUUUUUCUAUGGUUGACCUCGGAUCAGGUAGGGAUACCCGCUGAACUUAAGCAUAUCAAUAAGCGGAGGA
This 329-nucleotide unclassified non-coding RNA is filed under the name soil metagenome. RNAcentral describes it as "partial contains 5.8S ribosomal RNA, internal transcribed spacer 2, and large subunit ribosomal RNA". The stretch from base 1 to 120 matches the Rfam family "5.8S ribosomal RNA", at positions 35 to 154 of the family's 154-position model. The record is from RNAcentral.